UCUCCCAAUUAGGGCCGUGGAAGACGACCACGUAGAUAGGUCGGAAGUGGAAGUGCGGUAACGUAUGAAGCUAACCGAUACUAAUAGCCCGAUCGGCUUGAUACU
RNAcentral lists this ribosomal RNA (105 nucleotides) under Alphaproteobacteria bacterium. RNAcentral describes it as "partial 23S ribosomal RNA". It matches the Rfam family "Bacterial large subunit ribosomal RNA", at positions 2810 to 2925 of the family's 2925-position model. The record is from RNAcentral. Lineage: Bacteria; Pseudomonadati; Pseudomonadota; Alphaproteobacteria.